GGCGCAAUGGUAGAGCAGCAGCUUCCCAAGCUGAAUACGAGGGUUCGAUUCCCUU
RNAcentral lists this transfer RNA (55 nucleotides) under Rhodobacteraceae bacterium EhC02. It matches the Rfam family "tRNA", at positions 9 to 63 of the family's 71-position model. Rfam says of the family: Transfer RNA (tRNA) molecules are approximately 80 nucleotides in length. Lineage: Bacteria; Pseudomonadati; Pseudomonadota; Alphaproteobacteria; Rhodobacterales; Paracoccaceae. The record is from Rfam by way of RNAcentral.